GAGCAAAAGGAAAAACUCCAAACCAAACAAACAAAAAAGGAAAAGUGUUGGGACUUUCUAGAGGCUGAGGCCCAAGACCUUCGAAUUGGGUCUAAGAUGCUCUGAAGUCCAGGGAUCUGCAGUGGAAGGGAUUUGAGAUUCCCACCCGACGUGGCAUCUCUGUCGUCUCCUUUUUGGGUGUCCCAGGAACCGCGUUUUGCAUGUAUUGGCACAAAGCUGACCCAAAUGUAUGGGAAUUCUCCUACUCUGACACCCUGCUGUGGAUUUCCCGCCUCGUCCCACUGCGUCUGCAUUAGCCGUGCCUUCCACCAGACGAGAGAGCUCCUGCCUGAUGGACUUGCCUGCAGUUCCCUGGGUGAACCCCAACAGCAGCAAGAAGGGGAGGCGAAUCCACAGCUUGCUGUUCACAGGUUUAAGAACUAUUUGGCCUAAGAGGGAUUCAAAGUGCCCACAGGGCAUACUUUCCUCUUUGUAGUUUUCACCCAUAGCAGAGGGCUCCUGCCUCAGUUUCCCUAGCUGCACACUCAGGAGCCAGCUCAUUGGGCUAGUUUCUGAACUCUUGUCUAUGUAGGGGUUAUAAUCCUACCACCAGGACAAGUCUUUGCACAGAUAUCGUGUCACACCCCCACUCCCUGGGCAUCUUUCACAGUUUAGGCUGGGCCUUUCCAUACAAGGUAGGCCUGAGCAGAGUCUUCUCAGUCUACGACUAGGCCAGUCUCCCAGUACCCAUCCUGUCGUCCUGUCUGACCCAUUUCCCUCCCUCCUCAUCUGUUCACCCAGAAAGCAAUGUGAUUCCCAGUCAAGGCACCCCAAAGAACAGCUAGUCUUUGUCGCUGGAGCAUCCCAGGGGGGCUCCAGUGUCUACUGUCGCUGGGAUGAAGUGCCAGAGUAGGGCUUGGGACACUGUCCCCAGAUCAGGGAAGACAACCCCCAAAGUUUCAUUCCACCCCUCUGCUCUCUGGAUCCAGACUGACUUCCUGUCUGUUUGAAGUGUAGGUUCCCACUGUCCGUGACUUUGACACUUUGGUAGAUGACACAACUCUGCUUUCUAAGGAAGAGAGUAACUGAGAACAGUCUCCAUCCCUUCUCCCCAUGACCUUUUUUAAAUUAUAGGAGCACAAAGGCAGGUUUGAACUUCUGAGAGGUAAGCCCAGUUCUACUCUAGAUGGAGAGAGACCUGGGCAAAGGAUGAGGCUUAGUGGAACACUGCAUCAAAUGGGUCUCAGCAUCCUCGACAUUCCACCUGGAGACUGGGGUGGAGUAAUAAGAUCCUGGUGGAUGGCACCAUUGCUUGAGGCCUCCCUCCCCAUCUUUCUAAAUAAAAGGUUUUUGGGGGGCCCCUGGGUGGCUCA
Molecule: long non-coding RNA, 1352 nt
Organism: Vulpes vulpes (red fox)
Lineage: Eukaryota; Metazoa; Chordata; Mammalia; Carnivora; Canidae
Source: Ensembl